This 281-nucleotide small nuclear RNA is filed under the name Octodon degus (degu). RNAcentral's name for it is "7SK RNA (ENSODEG00000022980.1)". It matches the Rfam family "7SK RNA". From Rfam's summary of the family: 7SK was discovered as an abundant small nuclear RNA in the mid-70s but a possible function has only recently been suggested. Lineage: Eukaryota; Metazoa; Chordata; Mammalia; Rodentia; Octodontidae. The record is from Rfam by way of RNAcentral.
AGUUGUGCUAUCUGUCACCCCAUUGAUCACAAGGGUUUAUUCAGCUGAUCUGGCUGGCUAGACAAGUCUCCUCUUCCUCCCUCAAUGUACCAUGUAAGUCCUUUCCCAUAACUACCCACUCUGUCUGUUGAAGAGCACAACCACCCCUAGUAGAUGAGGACCAUUCCUCAGUCAAAGAUAUACAAGUCACUACUCCCCUGCUAAAACCUUCAAACAAGCUAUCAGGAGGUUGGGCUUGUAUUCUCUUUCCUCAAAUCUUCAUAGGCAUAUGACAGCUUUGG